GACGGAGGGUGCUAGCGUUGUUCGGAAUCACUGGGCGUAAAGGGCGCGUAGGCGGCCUGGGAAGUCGGCUUGUGAAAGCCCGGGGCUCAACCCCGGAGGUGCGGCCGAUACUCCCUGGCUCGAGGCCGGAAGAGGAGGGUGGAAUACCCAGUGUAGAGGUGAAAUUCGUAGAUAUUGGGUGGAACACCGGUGGCGAAAGCGGCUCUCUGGUCCGGUCCUGACGCUGAGGCGCGAAAGCGUGGGGAGCAAACAGG
RNAcentral lists this unclassified non-coding RNA (254 nucleotides) under uncultured Alphaproteobacteria bacterium. RNAcentral describes it as "contains 16S-23S intergenic spacer region". It matches the Rfam family "Bacterial small subunit ribosomal RNA", at positions 524 to 776 of the family's 1533-position model. The record is from RNAcentral. Lineage: Bacteria; Pseudomonadati; Pseudomonadota; Alphaproteobacteria.